GAGGCAAACGGGAAAAAGGAGUGCGGGACACGGAACGGGAAGAGGAAGGUGCGCGCAGGGAGGGGGACGGGUGGGCGAGGGGAGACUCGGAGCGAAGAUGGAAGGAGAGGCAGGGAUGCUCGCCUUGGUUGGCUGAGCGGCCGUAACUUCCGCCCGCACCGCCCGCCCCCGACCUGCCCCCCUGCAUACGCCGGAGCCAAGUACGUGCCAGCAGCCACGGUAACACCUAGGGGGCGAGCGUUGUUCGGAAUUACUGGGCGUAAAGGGCAUGUAGCCGGUCUGGUAAGCCUGGCGUGAAAGUCUGCAGCUUAACUGCAGGGGUGCGAUGGGAACUGCUGGGCUUGAGUGACGGAGAGGGAGCUGGAAUUCCUGGUGUAGGGGUGAAAUCUGUAGAUAUCAGGAAGAACACCGAUGGCGAAGGCAAGCUCCUGGCCGAUGACUGACGCUGAGGUGCGAAAGUGUGGGGAUCAAACAGGAUUAGAUACCCUGGUAGUCCACACGGUAAACGAUGUGCACUAGGUGCUGGGGCGGUAGCCUCAGUGCCGGAGCGAACGUGGUAAGUGCACCGCCUGGGGAGUAUGCUCGCAAGGGUGAAACUCGAAGGAAUUGACGGGG
Molecule: ribosomal RNA, 615 nt
Filed under: uncultured bacterium
Lineage: Bacteria
Description: partial 16S ribosomal RNA
Rfam family: Bacterial small subunit ribosomal RNA (bases 123-615)
Source: RNAcentral